This 465-nucleotide ribosomal RNA is filed under the name uncultured bacterium. Its description in RNAcentral is "partial 16S ribosomal RNA". It matches the Rfam family "Bacterial small subunit ribosomal RNA", at positions 338 to 795 of the family's 1533-position model. The record is from RNAcentral.
CCUACGGGUGGCAGCAGUGGGGAAUAUUGCACAAUGGGCGAAAGCCUGACGCAGCGACGCCGCGUGAGGGAUGAAGGUCUUCGGAUCGUAAACCUCUGUCAGCAGGGAAGAACGGUCACUGUGCUAAUCAGCAGUGAAUUGACGGUACCUGCAAAGGAAGCACCGGCUAACUCCGUGCCAGCAGCCGCGGUAAUACGGAGGGUGCGAGCGUUAAUCGGAAUUACUGGGCGUAAAGCGCUCGUAGGCGGUAUGUCAAGUCAAGGGUGAAAUCCCCGCGCUCAACGUGGGAACUGCCGUUGAAACUGGCAGACUGGAGUGUGUGAGAGGAUAGUGGAAUUCGAGGUGUAGGAGUGAAAUCCGUAGAUAUCAGGAGGAACAUCAGUGGCGAAGGCGACUAUCUGGCACAUAACUGACGCUGAGGAGCGAAAGCGUGGGUAGCAAACAGGAUUAGAUACCCUGGUAGUC